This 254-nucleotide long non-coding RNA is filed under the name Gossypium barbadense (sea-island cotton). RNAcentral's name for it is "long non-coding RNA (GBAR_LNC008226)". Lineage: Eukaryota; Viridiplantae; Streptophyta; Magnoliopsida; Malvales; Malvaceae. The record is from RNAcentral.
CAGAUCAGUUUACAGUUUCAAUUAUUAGCAAAUGUCUUAUGAAAAGCAGUAAUUAGAGUUUAUUCUCACAGAUCAAAGUUUUCACUACAGUUUCAGUUUACUCUAACUAGAGGGUUUCAGUACAAUCUUUUAUCUAUAAUAGUCUAAGAAUUUUCUACCUACUGUAUUCCAGUUUAAAACAGUCAAUAGUAUCAAGGAAACUUAUGGAUUCGAUGCCGAAGAUUCAGUGUGCCACACAAUUUAUAAACCUUCCA